AUACAGGGGGUGCGAGCGUUAAUCGGAAUUACUGGGCGUAAAGAGUACGUAGGCGGUUGCUUAAGUCAGAUGUGAAAGCCCCGGGCUCAACCUGGGAACUGCAUUUGAAACUGAGUGACUAGAGUUUAAGAGAGGGGAGUAGAAUUCCGGGUGUAGCGGUGAAAUGCGUAGAGAUCCGGAGGAAUACCAGUGGCGAAGGCGGCUCCCUGGCUUAAAACUGACGCUGAGGUACGAAAGCGUGGGUAGCAAACAGGAUUAGAAACCCCUGUAGUCC
RNAcentral lists this ribosomal RNA (274 nucleotides) under uncultured bacterium. RNAcentral describes it as "partial 16S ribosomal RNA". It matches the Rfam family "Bacterial small subunit ribosomal RNA", at positions 523 to 796 of the family's 1533-position model. The record is from RNAcentral.